CAGUAACACGUAGUCAACAUGCCCAUUGGACGUGGAUAACCUCGGGAAACUGAGAUUAAACCGCGAUAUUGUCAAGAUUUCUGGAAUGGAUCCUGGCUUAAAUCUACAUGGCCCCUGGAUUGGACUGCGGCCGAUCAGGCUGUUGGUGAGGUAAUGGCCCACCAAACCUAUAACCGGUACGGGCUCUGAGAGGAGAAGCCCGGAGAUGGGCACUGAGACAAGGGCCCAGGCCCUAUGGGGCGCAGCAGGCGCGAAAACUCUGCAAUGGGCGAAAGCCUGACAGGGUUACUCUGAGUGAUUUCCGCUAAGGAGAUCUUUUGGCAGCUCUAAAAAUGGUGCAGAAUAAGGGGUGGGCAAGUCUGGUGUCAGCCGCCGUGGUAAUACCAGCACCCCGAGUGGUCGGGACGAUUAUUGGGCCUAAAGCAUCCGUAGCCGGUUGUGCAAGUCCUCCGUUAAAUCCAGCCGCUCAACGGAUGGGCUGCGGAGGAUACUACAGAACUAGGAGGCGGGAGGGGCAAGCGGUACUUAGUGGGUAGGGGUAAAAUCCUUUGAUCCAUUGAAGA
This 563-nucleotide ribosomal RNA is filed under the name uncultured archaeon. RNAcentral describes it as "bacterial SSU rRNA". It matches the Rfam family "Archaeal small subunit ribosomal RNA", at positions 91 to 656 of the family's 1478-position model. The record is from RNAcentral.